RNAcentral lists this small RNA (776 nucleotides) under Pan troglodytes (chimpanzee). RNAcentral's name for it is "retained intron". The record is from RNAcentral. Lineage: Eukaryota; Metazoa; Chordata; Mammalia; Primates; Hominidae.
UAAAAUCCAAACAGGUUUAAAAAGUCUCUUUAAGCAAAAUGAUCCUCCAUUCCAUUAUUGUGAACUCUGACAUCCUGCCAAACUCAUAUUUUUUACAUAUCAAAAUAAAAUAUUUGUAGCAAAUUAAAACCCUUUAUUAAUACUUUAUCUUUGUAUGUUGCUCUGAUAAAUUUUGAUGUUUUUCUUUUGGUAGCUUAAUUUUUUUAAAUCCUACUUUGGACCAUUUGAGCUUCUGGGAAGUAUUUUGGAUUGUUGGAAUUACAGACUUCAUUCUGAAAUUCUUUUUCAUGGGCUUAAAAUGCCUUAUUUUAUUGGUGCCUUCUUUCAUCAUGCCUUUUAAAUCUAAGGGUUACUGGUAUAUGCUUUUAGAAGAAUUGUGUCAAUACUACCGAACUUUUGUUCCCAUACCAGUUUGGUUUCGCUACCUUAUAAGCUAUGGGGAGUUUGGUAACGUAACUAGAUGGAGUCUUGGGAUACUGCUGGCUUUACUCUACCUCAUAUUAAAACUUUUGGAAUUUUUUGGGCAUCUGAGAACUUUCAGACAGGUUUUACGAAUAUUUUUUACACAACCAAGUUAUGGAGUGGCUGCCAGCAAGAGACAGUGUUCAGAUGUGGAUGAUAUUUGUUCAAUAUGUCAAGCUGAAUUUCAGAAGCCAAUUCUUCUCAUCUGUCAGGUAAUUACAUUUUUAAAUUUAAAAACCUAAAUACAACAGUUCUCUGUGACUUGCAAAAGUCAAAUUUAUGUUUGCUGUAAGGCAAAAAAAAAAAAAAAAAAA